ACGUAGGGGGCAAGCGUUGUCCGGAAUUAUUGGGCGUAAAGCGCGUGUAGGCGGCUUGGUAAGUCUGGUGUGAAAUCUUGGGGCUCAACCCCAAGCCUGCACUGGAUACUGCCUGGCUAGAGUCCGGGAGGGGAGAGCGGAAUUCCCAGUGUAGCGGUGAAAUGCGCAGAUAUUGGGAAGAACACCGGUGGCGAAGGCGGCUCUCUGGAACGGUACUGACGCUGAGACGCGAAAGCGUGGGGAGCGAACAG
RNAcentral lists this ribosomal RNA (251 nucleotides) under uncultured prokaryote. RNAcentral's name for it is "partial 16S rRNA". It matches the Rfam family "Bacterial small subunit ribosomal RNA", at positions 525 to 775 of the family's 1533-position model. The record is from RNAcentral.